Long non-coding RNA from Thalassophryne amazonica, 306 nucleotides. RefSeq lists it as uncharacterized. NCBI's taxonomy places the organism in Eukaryota, Metazoa, Chordata, Actinopteri, Batrachoidiformes, Batrachoididae. The transcript is spliced from 3 exons. The record is from RefSeq and is a predicted model, not a curated record.
ACCCAGUCUACCCUGCCUGCACUCUCUUCUUCACCUCUCUACCACACUAUCCAUUACUUUGGACAACUGACCCCAAGUAUUCAAACUAAUCUACUUUCACCACUUCUACUCCUUGCAACUAUUCCACUGUGAACCCUCUCAUUCACACACAUGUACUCAGUCUUGCUCCUACUGACUUUUAUUCUCCUGCUCUCCAGAAAAUAGCUCCACCGUUCCAGGCUAGACUCAACCUGCUCUCUACUCUCACUACAGAUCACAAUAAAAUAUAUAUUAAAUGGACUGCAUUUAUAUAGUGCUUUUCCAUCU